This 2063-nucleotide long non-coding RNA is filed under the name Homo sapiens (human). RNAcentral's name for it is "HSALNT0169500". The record is from RNAcentral. Lineage: Eukaryota; Metazoa; Chordata; Mammalia; Primates; Hominidae.
AAGGAUGCAAUUCUUAACUUUUUCUGAACUCCACUGAAAAUAUAAAAACUGCACACAUCCAGGGCUGGCCUAUGUAACCAGUAGAAAACUGUGGAAGUGAUGGGGCAGGACCAGUAGAAUACUAGAGAAGUGAUGGCGUGGGACAACUUCCAAGGCCGCAUCACAGAAGGCAUUGCAGCUUCUGCCGUGGUCUCCUGGACUGCACACUGGGCAAGCCAGGCACCAUACUGUGAGGAUGCUCAAGCAGCCCCGAGGAGAGGCACACGUGGAGAGGAACUGAGGCCUCCUGCCAACAGCCACGUGAGUGCACCACCCAGAAGUGGGUCCUUCAGCCUCAGACAGGCUUUCAGAGGACUGGAGCCCUUGCUGACCUCUGACUGCAGUCCUGUGAGAGACCCUAAGACACAACUUCCCACUCACACUGCUCCUGAAUUCCUGACCACAGAAACUGUGAGAGAUGUGAAGUGCUUAUUGUGGGAAGCUUUGUUAUGUACUUUCUUACAUAAUGCUAGAUUACAAGUGCAGUUGCUGCCCAUGGGUGCCACCUGCUGGUGUUCCUGCCCCUGUGUACCCCCUCCCCUUGAGUGUGUGCCGUGAUGGGAUGUCACUCUGAGACUGCACAGCAAAGCCUCUGGCUUCUACCUUUCUCACUCUCUUGCUCUCUUGUCUCCCUUGCUCUGAGGGAAACUGGCUGCCAUGUUAUAAGCUGCUCUAUGGAGAGGCCCAUGUGGCUAAGAAUUGAGGGAGGCCUCCUGCUGAUAGCCAGUGAGGACCUAAGGACCUCAGUCCCACAUCUGGUGCAGAGCUGCACUGGCCAACAACCAUGUGGCUGAGCUUGGAAGUGGAUCCUCCCCCAACUGAACCUUGAAAUGACAGACGCUCCAGCAGGCACCAUGAUGCCAGCCUUGUAAGAGACCCUGAGCCAGAACACACAGCUGAGAUGUGUCUGGAUUCCUGACCUGCAGAAACUGUGUGGCAAUAAACAUUUGUUGUUUUAAAGCUGCUAAGUUUGGGGGCCAUUUGUUACACAGCAGCAGAUAACAAAUACAGUUCUGAUUAAUGGCACCAGCCUCACCUGUCCUAUUCCUAGAUAUGCUUAGCUUAGCUUUGGUCUAGACUUGGGUCUCCAUGUACAACUAUAACCUUGGUCAUCUGAAGCUCAGAGUAGGAGGGGGUGUAUUGAGGGAAUGAGACUACGAGGAGGCACACCCCAAUAUCUGCUGCUUUCUGGAAAACUCAGCCUCCAAAACUAAGUCAGCAACCAUAGGAGAUGGCCGUUGCAAGGUGGUUAAGCAUAAGGGAAUAACACAGGUUCGGAGCCAGCUUCUACCACCUCUUUCCUUUAACAGAGUUACAGGUCCUCCCUGAGCUCCCAUUUCUCAGGGGCCCUCCUGAAGCAGAGAAGGAAGCCACAACAUGGGCAGUCUAACUAGCACCAGCCAGAGAGCAGACACGAAGACGAAAGGAGAGGUUCUUUGUAAGGAACUUAGCCCUGGAACACGGCAGGUGCUUGUUAUGAGCUUGGCCUUGUAGUUAUCAGGGCACUUGGCAUCAUAGGCAUCACCCCAGCCACUGUUGGCAUGAAGACCUUGCAAUGCCAUCCUGGUUCCUGGACCCGGGCAUAUUAACGAUGAUGCCCACAUCUGAAGGACAAGAAGGUCUCAGUCGUGCAAUCACAGAGGAUUCACCUGGAGCUUCCCUGAGGAAUGUUCUUUUGGGCCGAGUCACCCGCUUGCUCCGGUGAGGCUGAGCUUGAGCUUUGAAUCCUGCCUGGAAUACAAAGGCCCCAUCAAACACUGCCAGGCUCACCAGCUCCCCUCCACCGCAUGCGCCAAGGGUCUCCCUCGCUUGGGUGUUUAUUUCUUGCUGUAAGAAGCGAUGAUUUAAUUCUUGCCUGGGAUAUCAUUCAGCCCAAGUUCGUGCUGAAGUGAGGCAUAUUUCAGCACUCACCAAUGUCCAUAUAGAUAAAAGAGAAAAAAAAGAGAGAGAGAAAACAACCUCAACCAGCCUCUUCAAGAGCUGUGCAUUUGAAACCUGUUUCUUAAAGAUGGAUUGCCCGUUAG